This is a non-coding RNA of Oryctolagus cuniculus (rabbit), 714 nucleotides long. Lineage: Eukaryota; Metazoa; Chordata; Mammalia; Lagomorpha; Leporidae. The record is from RefSeq and is a predicted model, not a curated record.
GACCCCAGUGUGUGUCCUGGAAGUCCCGUCCUCAAGGUGGCGCUGUCGAGGUGGUGGAAGUUUUAAGAGGCGGGGUCUAGCACAAGGUCAUUAGGUCACAGGAGUUCCCUCCUGGGUUAACACAGUCUCUUGGGCGUGCCCUUUCUCUCCCUGGGUGCACAGGGCAGGUCGCCCACAGCGCUGGCCCCGCUGCUUCGUGUCUACGCCCUUGAGGACUUCCCGAGGGCGGCCCUCUCAAGCCUCAUCUCCCUCUCAGAGACCGCAGGACCCUGCCCUGACUUCCGGCGUCGGCCAUCUUGGCUGAUCUGCCCGCUGCGGCUUCCGGUUCAGCGUCUCGUGUUUUCUCUCUCAGUUCUCUAUUUCGAGCCCGCCACCGCCCUUAAGAUUUGCCUAUUUUCUCCUGAACCAACUGUUUGUAACUAAACAUUUGAUGAUGAUGACAGUGACGAUGAUGGUGGUGGUGAUGGUGAUGAAGAUGGUGAUGAUGUUGAUGAAGAUGGCAAUGACGAUGGCGGUGGUAGAGAUGACACUGUUAUUACCAGCAGAAUAAGCCAUAUGACUUUGCAACAAGAACACCAGACACACCUGGCCACAAAUCUAUAUACGGGGCCGGCCCUGUGGCGUAGCUGGUAAAGCCGUCACCUGCAGUGCUGGCAUCCCACAUGGGCACCGGUUCCAGUCCCAGAUGCUCCACUUCCGAUCCAGCUCUCUGCU